AUCGAUUUCUUCGGAUUGAAAUUUUAGUGACUGAGUGGCGGACGGGUGAGUAACGCGUGGGUAACCUGCCUCACACAGGGGGAUAACAGUUGGAAACGGCUGCUAAUACCGCAUAAGCGCACGGUUCCGCAUGGAACAGUGUGAAAAACUCCGGUGGUAUGAGAUGGACCCGCGUCUGAUUAGCCAGUUGGCGGGGUAACGGCCCACCAAAGCGACGAUCAGUAGCCGACCUGAGAGGGUGAUCGGCCACAUUGGAACUGAGAGACGGUCCAGACUCC
This 278-nucleotide ribosomal RNA is filed under the name uncultured Eubacteriales bacterium. RNAcentral's name for it is "uncultured Clostridiales bacterium partial 16S ribosomal RNA". The stretch from base 40 to 278 matches the Rfam family "Bacterial small subunit ribosomal RNA", at positions 100 to 339 of the family's 1533-position model. Lineage: Bacteria; Bacillati; Bacillota; Clostridia; Eubacteriales. The record is from RNAcentral.